UGACAUUACUAAUAGAUUAAAUAAGAAUAGCAAACACUUACACUAUAUGCUAUAAGCAUAUUGCUAUAUACUGGUCCUCCGUUAAGAGCUUAGUAUGUAUGAGUAUAAUAUACAUUCUUUUUGUUUUGUUUUGUUUUGCUUUUAGAGAUGGGGUCUUGCUAUGUUGCCCAGGCUGUUCUUGAACUCCUGGCCUCAAGUGAUCCUCCUGCCUCGGCCUCCCAAAAUGUUGGGAUUACAGGUGUGAGUUGCUGUGCCCGGCCUUGAUACACAUUCUUUCUCUAAAGCCAUAGACAGAGUUAGGAGCUACUCAAACACUGAGACUCAUAGAAGAACAUAAAAUUCUAGGAUUUCAGCCAGGAGCAAAAUUUUGGAAAAGUCGUUCCUUCAUCUGCUCAGAUUCCACCUCAUUGAGCAUCCUGGAAGUGUGGGCUCCUUCUAGGAUUGGCUUCAAUGUGUAAGCUCUUCAACAUCUAGCUUGAGGCCAUGCACAAGUAGGAUAGUAGAACCGACCAUCAGCAGGAUGUGUUGCCACAGAAGAAAUCGAUAUUGUGCUAGACUUCAUAUCAGGAAGCUGAGUACAGAUGGACUGACUCUCAUCAAUAAACGCCAUGGGAACACAAACCAGGUCAACAGUGGGGUGAGAUCAACAAACGCUGCUGUUGUUAUUUACAAUAUGGAGCUGGUAUGACUCUAGGUCUGGUUGAACUCUUACCUCUAGUCUGGAGGGUAUAGAGGUCAUGCAUGAUUUAAUGCAGGUCAUGGCCAUUUCCAGGGAGAAGAGCAGCCCACGAACCACUGGGGGUAUGAAUGGCAAUGUCUUUGCCUUGAAGGAUGGUACACUUAUUCCUUUGAAGUGCUUUACUGAAUAUUUA
Molecule: long non-coding RNA, 872 nt
Organism: Pan paniscus (pygmy chimpanzee)
Lineage: Eukaryota; Metazoa; Chordata; Mammalia; Primates; Hominidae
Source: Ensembl